GACGAACGCUGGCGGCGUGCUUAACACAUGCAAGUCGAACGGAAAGGCCCUGCUUGCAGGGUACUCGAGUGGCGAACGGGUGAGUAACACGUGGGUGAUCUGCCCUGCACUUCGGGGUAAGCCUGGGAAACUGGGUCUAAUACCGGAUAGGAGCCAUUUUUAGUGUGAUGGUUGGAAAGUUUUUUCGGUGUAGGAUGAGCUCGCGGCCUAUCAGCUUGUUGGUGGGGUAAUGGCCUACCAAGGCGGCGACGGGUAGCCGGCCUGAGAGGGUGGACGGCCACAUUGGGACUGAGAUACGGCCCAGACUCCUACGGGAGGCGGCAGUGGGGAAUAUUGCACAAUGGGCGCAAGCCUGAUGCAGCGACGCCGCGUGGGGGAUGACGGCCUUCGGGUUGUAAACUCCUUUCGCUAGGGACGAAGCUUUUUGUGACGGUACCUAGAUAAGAAGCACCGGCUAACUACGUG
This 465-nucleotide ribosomal RNA is filed under the name uncultured bacterium. Its description in RNAcentral is "partial 16S ribosomal RNA". It matches the Rfam family "Bacterial small subunit ribosomal RNA", at positions 28 to 507 of the family's 1533-position model. The record is from RNAcentral.